This 482-nucleotide ribosomal RNA is filed under the name uncultured bacterium. RNAcentral's name for it is "bacterial SSU rRNA". It matches the Rfam family "Bacterial small subunit ribosomal RNA", at positions 32 to 524 of the family's 1533-position model. The record is from RNAcentral.
AAUCAACGCUGGCGGCGUGCCUCAGACAUGCAAGUCGAACGAUUAAAGCUCUCUUCGGCGAGUGUAUAGAGUGGCGCACGGGUGAGUAACACGUAAGUAAUCUACCCUCGAGUGGGGAAUAACAACCGGAAACGGUUGCUAAUACCGCAUAAUGCAGCGGCACCGCAAGGUGACAGUUGUUAAAGAUUUAUCGCUUGAGGAGGAGCUUGCGGCAGAUUAGCUAGUUGGUAGGGUAACGGCUUACCAAGGCUACGAUCUGUAACCGGUCUAAGAGGACGGUCGGUCACACUGACACUGAAUAACGGGUCAGACUCCUACGGGAGGCAGCAGUCGGGAAUUUUGGGCAAUGGGCGAAAGCCUGACCCAGCAACGCCGCGUGAAGGAUGAAGUAUUUCGGUAUGUAAACUUCGAAAGAAUAGGAAGAAUUAAUGACGGUACUAUUUAUAAGGUCCGGCUAACUACGUGCCAGCAGCCGCGGUAAU